Molecule: transfer RNA, 86 nt
Filed under: Flavonifractor sp.
Lineage: Bacteria; Bacillati; Bacillota; Clostridia; Eubacteriales; Oscillospiraceae
Description: tRNA-Leu
Rfam family: tRNA
About the family: Transfer RNA (tRNA) molecules are approximately 80 nucleotides in length. Their secondary structure includes four short double-helical elements and three loops (D, anti-codon, and T loops).
Source: RNAcentral
GGAGGAUUGUUGGAAUUGGCAGACAAGCCGGAUUUAGGUUCCGGUGCCCCCGCGGCGUAAGGGUUCAAGUCCCUUAUCCUCCACCA